Molecule: ribosomal RNA, 497 nt
Filed under: uncultured bacterium
Lineage: Bacteria
Description: partial 16S ribosomal RNA
Rfam family: Bacterial small subunit ribosomal RNA
Source: RNAcentral
GAUGAACGCUGGCGGCGUGCCUAAUACAUGCAAGUCGAGCGAACGGACGAGAAGCUGGCUUCUCUGAUGUUAGCGGCGGACGGGUGAGUAACACGUGGAUAACCUACCUAUAAGACUGGGAUAACUUCGGGAAACCGGAGCUAAGACCGGAUAAUAUUUUGAACCGCAUGGUUCAAAAGUGAAAGACGGUCUUGCUGUCACUUAUAGAUGGAUCCGCGCUGCAUUAGCUAGUUGGUAAGGUAACGGCUUACCAAGGCAACGAUGCAUAGCCGACCUGAGAGCGUGAUCGGCCACCCUGGAACUGAGACACGGUCCCGACUCCUACGGGAGGCAGCAGUAGGGACUCUUCCGCAAUGGGCGAAAGCCUGACGGAGCACCGCCGCGUGAGUGAUGAAGGUCUUCGGCUCGUAAAACUCUGUUAUUAGGGAAGAACAUAUGUGUAAGUACCUGUGCACAUCUUGACGGUACCUAAUCAGAAAGCCACGGCUAACUCCGUG